This 497-nucleotide ribosomal RNA is filed under the name uncultured bacterium. Its description in RNAcentral is "partial 16S ribosomal RNA". It matches the Rfam family "Bacterial small subunit ribosomal RNA", at positions 28 to 507 of the family's 1533-position model. The record is from RNAcentral.
GAUGAACGCUGGCGGCGUGCCUAAUACAUGCAAGUCGAGCGAACAGAUAAGGAGCUUGCUCCUUUGACGUUAGCGGCGGACGGGUGAGUAACACGUGGGUAACCUACCUAUAAGACUGGGAUAACUUCGGGAAACCGGAGCUAAUACCGGAUAACAUUUGGAACCUCAUGGUUCUAAAGUGAAAGAUGGUUUUGCUAUCACUUAUAGAUGGACCCGCGCCGUAUUAGCUAGUUGGUAAGGUAACGGCUUACCAAGGCAACGAUACGUAGCCGACCUGAGAGCGUGAUCGGCCACACUGGCACUGAGAAACGGUCCAGACUCCUACGGGAGGCCGCAGUAGGGAAUCUUACGCAAUGGGCGAAAGCCUGACGGUGCAACGCCGCGUGAGUGAUGAAGGGUUUCGGCUCGUAAAACUCUGUUAUUAGGGAAGAACAAAAGUGUAAGUAACUGUGCACGUAUUGACGGUACCUAAUCAGAAAGCCACGGCUAACUACGUG